RNAcentral lists this transfer RNA (69 nucleotides) under Pluvianellus socialis (magellanic plover). It matches the Rfam family "tRNA". From Rfam's summary of the family: Transfer RNA (tRNA) molecules are approximately 80 nucleotides in length. Lineage: Eukaryota; Metazoa; Chordata; Aves; Charadriiformes; Charadriidae. The record is from Rfam by way of RNAcentral.
GUCCUCGUAGCUUAACAUCAAAGCAUGGCACUGAAGAUGCCAAGAUGGUUACUCCGACACCCGAAGACG